AGCAUGCAAGUCAAACGGGAUGUAGCAAUAUAUCUAGUGGCGAACGGGUGAGUAACGCGUGGAUGAUCUACCUACGAGAUGGGGAUAACUAUUAGAAAUAGUAGCUAAUACCGAAUAAAGUCAAUUAAUUUGUUAAUUGAUGAAAGGAAGCCUUUAAAGCUUCGCUUGUAGAUGAGUCUGCGUCUUAUUAGCUAGUUGGUAGGGUAAAUGCCUACCAAGGCGAUGAUAAGUAACCGGCCUGAGAGGGUGAACGGUCACACUGGAACUGAGAUACGGUCCAGACUCCUACGGGAGGCAGCAGCUAAGAAUCUUCCGCAAUGGGCGAAAGCCUGACGGAGCGACACUGCGUGAAUGAAGAAGGUCGAAAGAUUGUAAAAUUCUUUUAUAAAUGAGGAAUAAGCUUUGUAGGAAAUGACGAAGUGAUGACGUUAAUUUAUGAAUAAGCCCCGGCUAAUUACGUGCCAGCAGCCGCGGUAAUACG
This 481-nucleotide ribosomal RNA is filed under the name Borreliella burgdorferi (Lyme disease spirochete). RNAcentral's name for it is "bacterial SSU rRNA". It matches the Rfam family "Bacterial small subunit ribosomal RNA", at positions 52 to 527 of the family's 1533-position model. The record is from RNAcentral. Lineage: Bacteria; Pseudomonadati; Spirochaetota; Spirochaetia; Spirochaetales; Borreliaceae.